Anas platyrhynchos (mallard) is the source of this 1959-nucleotide non-coding RNA. NCBI's taxonomy places the organism in Eukaryota, Metazoa, Chordata, Aves, Anseriformes, Anatidae. The record is from RefSeq and is a predicted model, not a curated record.
UGCAUUGGGUUGCCCUCUGAGGUUCUCCUCCUGCCCUUGCUGGGGCAUGUUCAGGAGCCAAGAGGUGCCCCAUCUCCUGCCCCGUGGGGCAGCUCCUGGCCCCGAGCUGGGGAAAGCCUGCCCAGGGCUGAGCUCUGCCCCUGAUGGCCUGGCUCCUUCUGUCCCUGCAGUGAAGGUGACCCUGGAUCCUGACACCGCUCAUCCCCAGCUUGUUCUGUUGGAAGACAAUACAAGCAUGCGUUUGGAACACACAUGGCAAGCAGUGCCCAACACCCAGAGAGAUUUGACUGUUGUUGCUGCGUGCUGGGCCGUGAGCAGUUCAGGGGGGGAAAGCACUGCUGGAAGGUGGAGUUGAGAGGCGAGUUGGAAAAAGUUUCAAAUUUGGCUGUGGGGGUGGCCAGGGCAUCAAUGAGGAGGAGGGUGGGAAUCAACAUGAGCCCUGAAGAAGGGAUCUGGGCGCUGCAGUAUGAUGAAGGAGAGCUCAUGUCUCUCACAUUUCCUCCCAUACGCUUCUCUGUGUCCCCUGUUCCAAUGAGGAUGUGGGUCUGUCUGGACUAUCCAGCGCAGCAGGUGUCUUUUAUCAAUGCUGACAAUGGGAAAGAGAUCUGCGUGUUCAAAAGAGCUUCCCUCAAUGGGGAGAGCAUCCACCCCUGGUUCUGGCUGGGGACAAGAAGUGUCCAGCUGUGCCUGAGGGACAGCACCCCCUAGAUCCUGUCCCCAGCCCUGGAGGGCUCCUGCCCUUCUCCAGCCGCUCCUUACUUACCUCUCCUUGAUCCUGCAGGAGCAGCACAGGAAUGAGGGGCACUGGGGCCAGGGUCUGCCCCGUGUUCCUCCCUUCACACUGAGACCUGUGACAGUUGGUGGGGGGCACUCAGAGUUCAGACAGCCAUUUGCUUCAUGUUUGGGAGCCCCAUUUGUGGGCUCCAGUUUUCUGUUCCUAACUCCAUUUAUAAAUUUGGCUUUUUUUGAAAGCAUGAAUUAUUAACAUGGAUUUAAGUGUAAAAGAAUUAGUAAUACUCCUUGUAGUUAAUUACAUCAACUUUUGAACAUGGAAAUGCUGUGUGGGAUUAUUUUAAAUCACUAUGAAGGAAGCUGCCUACUCCAAAAAGAAUGGGAAACUUGACCUGGCAGGGCAAAACAACCCACUGGGAGCUGGAUUUGAGCCAGAUCGUGGCUGUUGCUGGGGGCAGCGAGGAUGCUCUGGUGGUUGGAUGCUUCAGGACCAGGGUGCUCUGGGCUUGGACACUUCAGAUCUGGGAUGCUCCAGGACUGGGAUCCUCCGGGACCUGGAUGCUUUGUGGGUUGGAUGCUUCAGAACUGGGAUGCUCCGGGACCGGGAUCCUCCAGGACGGGGAUCCUCCGGGACCGGGAUACUCCAGGACCGGUUUGCUCCGGGACCAGGAUGCUCCGUGGGUUGGAUGCUCCGGGGGGUGGGGGUCCAAAGGGGGGCAGGAUGCUGCGGGAUCCGGCCCGGGAAGAGGCGGGGGACGCACAGGAAGGGGUUGGGGUUGCAGGAACCGAGAACAAAGCGGAGUCCGGGGAGCUCCGGUGCUCGGAGCCGGCUCCGGUGCUGCCGCCGCUCGUGUGCAGGUAAUCGGCAGGGAGCGGGGGCUACCGGGGAGGGGACGGCUCCCCCCCGGGAUGGGUGCUUCCCCCCACCCCUCUUCCUCCCUGGUCUGGGUACGACCCGUGUGGACCCCCCGGGGGCUGGAUAUGGGCUCCCCGACACCUCUCGGAGAGGAUACGGAUUCACCGCUGACUCCCUCCCGAUGAGCCCGUGACCUUCGAGGAGGUGGCCGUGUUAUUUCACCAAGGAGCAAUGGGUCCUGCUCGACCCUGUGCAGAGGACUCUCUACAUGGAUGUCAUGCUGGAGAACUACGAGACCAUCACCUCGCUGGGUUUUCCUGCUGCUGAGCCAGACUUGCUCACCCAGGAGGGAGGAGAGCACUGGGCCCCAA